Macaca mulatta (Rhesus monkey) is the source of this 2084-nucleotide long non-coding RNA. Lineage: Eukaryota; Metazoa; Chordata; Mammalia; Primates; Cercopithecidae. The record is from Ensembl.
AGUGACUUGAAGGCGGGGCAACAAAGGGUACGGCCGAUAUGGUGCUCCUCGGCCCGCGCUUCAAUGGUUAUGACAGUGUUAACUCUAAGGGGAGAAGGAAUGUGUGACCAUUAACAACGGUUAACUUGCAUUCCCCAGAUAGUUUGGAUGAGUUACAACCCAAAUCUGCAAACUCAAUACAGCCAGACCCUGGGAAGUGACCCUCUCCGAGCCUCCUGUACAAGUCCCAGGAAAAGAGCCUGUUUUCCCUUGGACACGUGAGCAGUGAAUUACUGCUCAUUCAGAAUUACAUGUCAUGUGUUACUGAUGGCCAGGUUUAGAUACCAACCUAUUUCUAGAGGAGAGGUGAUUUGAUAACCUUUUCAGAUAUCACUAUCACUAGGCAGAAAAGGGUUAAUACUAUGACAGUGUCCUGAGGACAGUAGAGAAACUGCAAACUGCAGAAGUACCUGAUCUGUGGCCCUGGCCAGCAUCUCUCCAUAUCCUGAUUCUGUAAGAUCAAGUGUUUAUGCAGAAAGAGAAGGGACCGAUGAUUUGAAUGUGACCAGAUGUAUGGCACGCCCUUAUUGCCAUGCCAGCAUUUGCUAUUCAUGAUGUUAGUAUUCAAAAAUCAAGAAACACUCUGCAUGGGCCAUUGGUGUCUACUAAUCCGUUGGAAGAAAAGACUGGAAUCCACCACUUACUAGCUCCUUGGGCCUCAGUCCCCUCUUUUCUGCCAUAACUAAGGACCACCUAAUCUAGAUGGCUGCUGUUAUUGUUCAAAGGAACAUCUUUAGAGCCUCAAGCCCAGGAAUAGUCCAUGGCAGGCACCUGGUAAAUGUUAGUUUUCAUUGUCCUCUCCCAACACUAUGAAACAUGCAGCACUCUCUGCAACUGCCCCUGUGGAUUUCCAUAGGCAGGAGAGCAUCUAGUGUUGAGUGGAGCUGGUAUUCUCAGAAACGAAGCCCCUUUCCUCAUUUUGUGCCAAUCUCUUCAGUCAUUUGUACCCUAGUAGUAUAGGGCUUUGUCAAAGUCACUGUCAUCUAAUGUUAACAGUUGUUUUUGCCAGAUGACUUUUCAAAAAGUGACUGUUAAUGUGAUAAAAACACUGCAUGUAGCCAAUUUUUUUUUUUUUUUUUUUUUUUUGAGACGGAGUUACUGCUCUUGUUGCCUAGGCUAGAGUGCAGCGGCAUGAUCUUGGCUCACUGCAACCUCUGCCUCCCAGGUUCAAGUAAUUCUCCUGCCUCAGCCUCCCAAGUGGCUGGGAUUAUAGGCACACGCCACCAUGCCCAGCCAAUUUUUUUGUAUUUUUAGUAGAGACAGGGUUUCACCAUAUGUUGGCCAGGCUGGUCUCGAACUCCUGACUUCAGGUGAUCCUCCUGCCUCAGCCUCCCAAAGUGCUGGGAUUACAGGUGUGAGCCACUGCGCCCAGCCAACUAUUUUCUUAUUUGUUAUAUAUUUAUUUUAGAGAUAGGAUGCCAUUAUGUUACCCAGUCUGGAAUGCAGUGGCUAAUUAGAGGCAUGAUCAUAGCAUACUAUGACCUCGGCUCAAAGGACCCUGCAACCUUAGCCUCCUGAGUAGCUGGGACAAGUGUGCACCACCACAGCUGACUAAUUUUUAAAUUUUUUGUAGAGAUAGGGUCUGGCUAUGUUGCCCAGGCUGGUCUGGAAUUCCUGGACUCAAGGCCUCUUCCUGCCCUCAGCCUUCCAAAGUGUUAGGAUUACAGGGUGAAUACCCACACCCAGCCAGUGUGAAUUUUCUAAUGCUGAGUAAGUUGUGAUCCAGAAGUAAAUGUAUCUGCAAGCUGAUUUAAAUUGUAGAUUUUCUUCUCAUUGUGUAUUUUCUGAUGUUGAAUAAAGUCUGAGUAUUAACUAAAGUUUUUCCUUCUUCUUAAAUAUGUAAGAAUUGUCCUCAAAAUCUCCAUUCUUGAGCACAGUAGUAAAAAUAUUUUUACAUACAUUGUAUUUCAAGGGUUCUGCAUAAACAACUUUGUUUUAUUGUGACUAAAUUUAUUUGGGAAUUUUAUCAAAUAUAUAAUACUGAGAUGUUCUCAUUCCUUUUGUGAAAAUGGUCUGGUUUAAAAACCACUGCCUUCAAAUGAAAA